RNAcentral lists this ribosomal RNA (1335 nucleotides) under uncultured bacterium. RNAcentral's name for it is "bacterial SSU rRNA". It matches the Rfam family "Bacterial small subunit ribosomal RNA", at positions 28 to 1381 of the family's 1533-position model. The record is from RNAcentral.
GACGAACGCUGGCGGCGUGCUUAACACAUGCAAGUCGAGCGGUAAGGCCCUUCGGGGUACACGAGCGGCGAACGGGUGAGUAACACGUGAGCAAUCUGCCCUUCUCUUUGGAAUAACCAUUGGAAACGAUGGCUAAUGCCGAAUAUGAACCCCCUUCGCAUGUUGGGGGUUGGAAAGCUCCGGCGGAGAUGGAUGAGCUCGCGGCCUAUCAGCUUGUUGGUGAGGUAAUGGCUCACCAAGGCAUUGACGGGUAGCCGGCCUGAGAGGGUGACCGGCCACACUGGGACUGAGACACGGCCCAGACUCCUACGGGAGGCAGCAGUGGGGAAUAUUGGACAAUGGGCGAAAGCCUGAUCCAGCAACGCCGCGUGAGGGAUGACGGCCUUCGGGUUGUAAACCUCUUUCAGCAGGGACGAAGCGAGAGUGACGGUACCUGCAGAAGAAGGACCGGCCAACUACGUGCCAGCAGCCGCGGUAAUACGUAGGGUCCGAGCGUUGUCCGGAAUUAUUGGGCGUAAAGGGCUCGUAGGCGGUUUGUCGCGUCGGGAGUGAAAACUCAGGGCUCAACCCUGAGCGUGCUUCCGAUACGGGCAGACUAGAGGUAUUCAGGGGAGAACGGAAUUCCUGGUGUAGCGGUGGAAUGCGCAGAUAUCAGGAGGAACACCGGUGGCGAAGGCGGUUCUCUGGGAAUUACCUGACGCUGAGGAGCGAAAGCAUGGGGAGCGAACAGGAUUAGAUACCCUGGUAGUCCAUGCCGUAAACGUUGGGCGCUAGGUGUGGGGACCUUCCACGGUUUCCGUGCCGCAGCUAACGCAUUAAGCGCCCCGCCUGGGGAGUACGGCCGCAAGGCUAAAACUCAAAGGAAUUGACGGGGGCCCGCACAAGCGGCGGAGCAUGCUGAUUAAUUCGAUGCAACGCGAAGAACCUUACCUGGGUUUGACAUAUGCCGGAAAGCUGCAGAGAUGUGGCCUCCUUUUGGCCGGUAUACAGGUGGUGCAUGGCUGUCGUCAGCUCGUGUCGUGAGAUGUUGGGUUAAGUCCCGCAACGAGCGCAACCCUCGUUCUAUGUUGCCAGCACGUUAUGGUGGGGACUCAUAGGAGACUGCCGGGGUCAACUCGGAGGAAGGUGGGGAUGACGUCAAGUCUUCAUGCCCCUUAUGUCCAGGGCUUCAAGCAUGCUACAAUGGCCGGUACAAAGGGCUGCGAAACUGUAAGGUGGAGCGAAUCCCAAAAAGCCGGUCUCAGUUCGGAUUGGGGUCUGUAACUCGACCCCAUGAAGUCGGAGUCGCUAGUAAUCGCAGAUCAGCAACGCUGCGGUGAAUACGUUCCCGGGCCU